CAUUUCUUGCUUUCAGCCUGUAUACCUCCGUCGUAAGCUCACUAUAUGAAUAUACAACAGUGAGCCAAAAGGCCAUCACCUUAACGUCAGGUCAAGGUGCAGCUUAUGAAACGGAAACAAUGGGCUACAAUCUCUAACCUAGAACAAACGAAUUACUACAUGAAACAUAGUCAUAAAGGAGGAUUUAGCAGUAAAUAAGGAAUAGAGAGCCUUAUUAAAUUCAGCUAUGGGGUGUGUACAAACC
Molecule: ribosomal RNA, 244 nt
Filed under: Raorchestes hassanensis (Kudra Kukh frog)
Lineage: Eukaryota; Metazoa; Chordata; Amphibia; Anura; Rhacophoridae
Description: partial 12S ribosomal RNA
Source: RNAcentral